GUAGGGAAUCUUGCGCAAUGGGCGAAAGCCUGACGCAGCCAUGCCGCGUGAAUGAUGAAGGUCUUAGGAUUGUAAAAUUCUUUCACCGGGGACGAUAAUGACGGUACCCGGAGAAGAAGCCCCGGCUAACUUCGUGCCAGCAGCCGCGGUAAUACGACGGGGGCUAGCGUUGCUCGGAAUUACUGGGCGUAAAGGGAGCGUAGGCGGAUAGUUUAGUCAGAGGUGAAAGCCCAGGGCUCAACCUUGGAAUUGCCUUUGAUACUGGCUAUCUUGAGUAUGGAAGAGGUAUGUGGAACUCCGAGUGUAGAGGUGAAAUUCGUAGAUAUUCGGAAGAACAGCAGUGGCGAAGGCGACAUACUGGUCCAUUACUGACGCUGAGGCUCGAAAGCGUGGGGAGCAAACAGGAUUAGAUACCCGGGUAGUCC
RNAcentral lists this ribosomal RNA (425 nucleotides) under uncultured bacterium. RNAcentral describes it as "partial 16S ribosomal RNA". It matches the Rfam family "Bacterial small subunit ribosomal RNA", at positions 354 to 796 of the family's 1533-position model. The record is from RNAcentral.